Pimephales promelas (fathead minnow) is the source of this 320-nucleotide non-coding RNA. Lineage: Eukaryota; Metazoa; Chordata; Actinopteri; Cypriniformes; Leuciscidae. The record is from RefSeq and is a predicted model, not a curated record.
AACAGGAAACAGGAGACGGCGAGAUGAUCAUGAUCAGGGAUUGCAGCUGGAGGAUCCUGAUUGGUGGAUCGAAGCACAUCUGCUGAGGGGAAUGCAAGAUCAGUGUUGGCGCCCCCCCCCCCCUCAGCCCCUCCACACACUCAUUACAGCUACACAGAACACAACUUAUAAAAGUGAUAAAAUUAGUUUAAUGCUUUUGUUGUGUUUACUCAUCUAACAUUUUAUUCAAUUAAAUAAGCUACACAAUUUUAAAUAGGCCUACGAGUGACAUUUUCAGUACCACACCAAAACUAACUAAAGACUUUACUACAAAGUUCAAA